UGGGGAAUUUUUCCGCAAUGGGCGAAAGCCUGACGGAGCAAUGCCGCGUGGAGGUGGAAGGCCUACGGGUCGUCAACUUCUUUUCUCGGAGAAGAAACAAUGACGGUAUCUGAGGAAUAAGCAUCGGCUAACUCUGUGCCGG
RNAcentral lists this ribosomal RNA (142 nucleotides) under uncultured bacterium. RNAcentral describes it as "partial 16S rRNA". It matches the Rfam family "Bacterial small subunit ribosomal RNA", at positions 355 to 511 of the family's 1533-position model. The record is from RNAcentral.